AGAAGAUGUUAGGUUUGUUGAAAAAUGGUAACUUAUUCUUAUGGCGCUAAAGGUUUGAGAGUGUUAAUCCAAAUAUAUUUCAUUUCCUUCAAAAUUGUGUGUUUAUUAAUAUUUUGGUUAAAGAUCCUGUGAUACUUCAUUUGGUUUUGUGCCUUUCAAACAUAUAUCUCAUGUCCUGAUUUCUUGUUUCCCUUAUUUUCAUCAUUUACGGUUGUUUUCAUGUCAACUCUUACCUUAAGAAUGUACUUCUUAU
This 253-nucleotide unclassified non-coding RNA is filed under the name Hevea brasiliensis (rubber tree). Lineage: Eukaryota; Viridiplantae; Streptophyta; Magnoliopsida; Malpighiales; Euphorbiaceae. The record is from RNAcentral.